RNAcentral lists this ribosomal RNA (459 nucleotides) under uncultured bacterium. Its description in RNAcentral is "partial 16S ribosomal RNA". It matches the Rfam family "Bacterial small subunit ribosomal RNA", at positions 338 to 795 of the family's 1533-position model. The record is from RNAcentral.
CCUACGGGAGGCAGCAGUGAGGAAUAUUGGUCAAUGGGCGGAAGCCUGAACCAGCCAAGCCGCGUGCGGGAAGAAGGCCCUACGGGUCGUAAACCGCUUUUGCCCGGGGACAACACCCGCCACGUGUGGAGGACUGCAGGUACCGUACGAAUAAGGGCCGGCUAAUUCCGUGCCAGCAGCCGCGGUAAUACGGAGGACACGAGCGUUAUCCGGAUUCAUUGGGCUUAAAGGGUGCGUAGGCGGGCGUUUAAGUCAGCGGUAAAAUCGCGGGGCUCAACCGCGCCGCGCCGUUGAAACUGGAAGCCUUGAGUUGGCAAGAGGUAGGCGGAAUGCGUGGUGUAGCGGUGAAAUGCAUAGAUAUCACGAGGAACCCCGAUUGCGAAGGCAGCGUGCCGGGGCGCGACUGACGCUGAGGCUCGAAGGUGUGGGUAUCAAACAGGAUUAGAUACCCCUGUAGUC